AGCAGCCGCGGUAAUUCCAGCUCCAAUAGCGUAUAUUAAAGUUGUUGCAGUUAAAAAGCUCGUAGUUGAAUUUCGGGGCCAGUAGGUUGGUCGUGCCACUGGUAUGCACUGGUCUCACUGGUCCCUCCUUCUUGUAGAACCGUGAUGGCAUUAAUUUGUUGUUGCGGGGAAACAGGACUGUUACUUUGAAAAAAUUAGAGUGCUUAAAGCAGGCUCGCGCUUGAAUACAUUAGCAUGGAAUAACGAAAUAGGACGAUCGAACCUAUUUUGUUGGUUUCUAGGAUCGACGUAAUGAUUAAUAGGGAUAGUUGGGGGCAUUAGUAUUCAAUUGUCAGAGGUGAAAUUCUUGGAUUUAUUGAAGACUAACUACUGCGAAAGCAUUUGCCAAGGAUGUUUUCAUUAAUCAAGAACGAAAGUUAGGGGAUCGAAGACGAUCAGAUACCGUCGUAGUCUUAACCAUAAACUAUGCCGACUAGGGAUCGGAUGAAGUUAAUUUUUUAAUGACUCAUUCGGCGCCUUACG
Molecule: ribosomal RNA, 522 nt
Filed under: uncultured fungus
Lineage: Eukaryota; Fungi
Description: SSU rRNA
Rfam family: Eukaryotic small subunit ribosomal RNA
Source: RNAcentral